Molecule: ribosomal RNA, 468 nt
Filed under: uncultured bacterium
Lineage: Bacteria
Description: partial 16S ribosomal RNA
Rfam family: Bacterial small subunit ribosomal RNA
Source: RNAcentral
GACGAACGCUGGCGGCGUGCUUAACACAUGCAAGUCGAACGGAAAGGCCCUGCUUUUGUGGGGUGCUCGAGUGGCGAACGGGUGAGUAACACGUGAGUAACCUGCCCUGGACUUUGGGAUAACUUCAGGAAACUGGGGCUAAUACCGGCUAGGAGCUCCUGCUGCAUGGUGGGGGUUGGAAAGUUUCGGCGGUUGGGGAUGGACUCGCGGCUUAUCAGCUUGUUGGUGGGGUAGUGGCUUACCAAGGCUUUGACGGGUAGCCGGCCUGAGAGGGUGACCGGCGACAUUGGGACUGAGAUACGGCCCAGACUCCUACGGGAGGCAGCAGUGGGGAAUAUUGCACAAUGGGCGGAAGCCUGAUGCAGCAACGCCGCGUGCGGGAUGACGGCCUUCGGGUUGUAAACCGCUUUCGCCUGUGACGAAGCGUGAGUGACGGUAAUGGGUAAAGAAGCACCGGCUAACUACGUG